CUACGGGUGGCAGCAGUGGGGAAUAUUGGACAAUGGGGGCAACCCUGAUCCAGCGAUGCCGCGUGUGUGAAGAAGGCCUGAGGGUUGUAAAGCACUUUUAGUGGGGAGGAUAGGCAUUUGGCUAAUACCCAGAUGUUCAGACGUUACCCACCAUAAACAGCACCGGCUAACUCCGUGCCAGCAGCCGCGGUAAUACGGGGGGUGCAAGCGUUAAUCGGAGUUAUUGGGCGUAAAGGGUGCGUAGGUGGUUCAUUAAGUUAUCUGGGAAAUUCCUGGGCUUAACCUAGGAAUGUCGGGUGAUACUGGUGAACUUGAGUAUAGUAGAGGGUAGUGGAAUUUCCGGUGUAGCGGUGAAAUGCGUAGAGAUCGGAAGGAACAUCGGUGGCGAAGGCGGCUACCUGGACUAAUACUGACACUGAGGCACGAAAGCGUGGGGAGCAAACAGGAUUAGAUACCCUGGUAGUC
This 465-nucleotide ribosomal RNA is filed under the name uncultured bacterium. RNAcentral's name for it is "partial 16S ribosomal RNA". It matches the Rfam family "Bacterial small subunit ribosomal RNA", at positions 339 to 795 of the family's 1533-position model. The record is from RNAcentral.